This 442-nucleotide unclassified non-coding RNA is filed under the name Hevea brasiliensis (rubber tree). The record is from RNAcentral. Lineage: Eukaryota; Viridiplantae; Streptophyta; Magnoliopsida; Malpighiales; Euphorbiaceae.
GUGGAAACCCUUCUUCCGUCACUGCAUAGCUAACGUCUUCUUGCUACCUUUUAACCUUCCAAUGAGAAUAAAAUCCCCAAAAUUUCCUUCAUCCCUUACUAAAACCUUAACCCAAAUUUCACUCUCUCUCUCUCUCUCUUUAUCUAAUAAAAUUAAAGAAUGUGGACACACUUCUUCCAUAUGAAGCUGACGAUUCCAAGAUGAUGUCUCCUUCCAGAGACUGUUCUAUCUCAACCGCUACUUCCACUCACUUUCCUAUUGCCUCCCUCCCCACAAAACCCUUCUUCCUUAUUCCUUCCGUCUUGAUCUGAUCUCUUCUAUAAAUUCAACCUUUCUUCUAGUUUUUCUUUCAUUCGCUUGACCAUCUCCUGACUCUACUUCUUCAUUUCAAUUUCUUAAUUUGCUUUCUUGCACGUAUCCACACACACAGAGAGAGAGAGAG